GAUGAACGCUGGCGGCGUGCCUAAUACAUGCAAGUCGAACGAAACUUCUUUAUCACCGAGUGCUUGCACUCACCGAUAAAGAGUUGAGUGGCGAACGGGUGAGUAACACGUGGGCAGCCUGCCCAAAAGAGGGGGAUAACACUUGGAAACAGGUGCUAAUACCGCAUAACCAUAGUUACCGCAUGGUAACUAUGUAAAAGGUGGCUAUACUACCGCUUUUGGAUGGGCCCGCGGCGCAUUAGCUAGUUGGUAGGGUAAAGGCUUACCAAGGCAAUGAUGCGUAGCCGAAUUGAGAGGUUGAUCGGCCACAUUGGGACUGAGACACGGCCCAAACUCCUACGGGAGGCAGCAGUAGGGAAUCUUCCACAAUGGGCGAAAGCCUGAUGGAGCAACGCCGCGUGGGUGAAGAAGGUCUUCGGAUCGUAAAACCCUGUUGUUAGAGAAGAAAGUGCGUGAGAGUAACUGUUCACGUUUCGACGGUAUCUAAACAGAAAGCCACGGCUAACUACGUG
Molecule: ribosomal RNA, 512 nt
Filed under: uncultured bacterium
Lineage: Bacteria
Description: partial 16S ribosomal RNA
Rfam family: Bacterial small subunit ribosomal RNA
Source: RNAcentral